This 837-nucleotide ribosomal RNA is filed under the name Bacillus sp. p10f-4. Its description in RNAcentral is "bacterial SSU rRNA". It matches the Rfam family "Bacterial small subunit ribosomal RNA", at positions 381 to 1212 of the family's 1533-position model. The record is from RNAcentral. Lineage: Bacteria; Bacillati; Bacillota; Bacilli; Caryophanales; Bacillaceae.
GUCUGACGGAGCACGCCGCGUGAGUGAUGAAGGUUUUCGGAUCGUAAAGCUCUGUUGUUAGGGAAGAACAAGUGCAAGAGUAACUGCUUGCACCUUGACGGUACCUAACCAGAAAGCCACGGCUAACUACGUGCCAGCAGCCGCGGUAAUACGUAGGUGGCAAGCGUUGUCCGGAAUUAUUGGGCGUAAAGGGCUCGCAGGCGGUUUCUUAAGUCUGAUGUGAAAGCCCCCGGCUCAACCGGGGAGGGUCAUUGGAAACUGGGAAACUUGAGUGCAGAAGAGGAGAGUGGAAUUCCACGUGUAGCGGUGAAAUGCGUAGAGAUGUGGAGGAACACCAGUGGCGAAGGCGACUCUCUGGUCUGUAACUGACGCUGAGGAGCGAAAGCGUGGGGAGCGAACAGGAUUAGAUACCCUGGUAGUCCACGCCGUAAACGAUGAGUGCUAAGUGUUAGGGGGUUUCCGCCCCUUAGUGCUGCAGCUAACGCAUUAAGCACUCCGCCUGGGGAGUACGGUCGCAAGACUGAAACUCAAAGGAAUUGACGGGGGCCCGCACAAGCGGUGGAGCAUGUGGUUUAAUUCGAAGCAACGCGAAGAACCUUACCAGGUCUUGACAUCCUCUGACAACCCUAGAGAUAGGGCUUUCCCUUCGGGGACAGAGUGACAGGUGGUGCAUGGUUGUCGUCAGCUCGUGUCGUGAGAUGUUGGGUUAAGUCCCGCAACGAGCGCAACCCUUGAUCUUAGUUGCCAGCAUUCAGUUGGGCACUCUAAGGUGACUGCCGGUGACAAACCGGAGGAAGGUGGGGAUGACGUCAAAUCAUCAUGCCCCUUAUGACCUGG